UAGGGAAUCUUCGGCAAUGGACGAAAGUCUGACCGAGCAACGCCGCGCGAGUGAAGAAGGUUUUCGGAUCGUAAAACUCUGUCGUUAGAGAAGAACAAGGACGUUAGUAACUGAACGUCCCCUGACGGUAUCUAACCAGAAAGCCACGGCUAACUACGUGCCAGCAGCCGCGGUAAUACGUAGGUGGCAAGCGUUGUCCGGAUUUAUUGGGCGUAAAGCGAGCGCAGGCGGUUUCUUAAGUCUGAUGUGAAAGCCCCCGGCUCAACCGGGGAGGGUCAUUGGAAGCUGGGAGACUUGAGUGCAGAAGAGGAGAGUGGAAUUCCGUGUGGAGCGGUGAAAUGCGUAGAUAUAUGGAGGAACACCAGUGGCGAGGGCGGCUCUCUGGUCUGUAACUGACGCUGAGGCUCGAAAGCGUGGGGAGCAAACAGG
Molecule: ribosomal RNA, 429 nt
Filed under: Gemmatimonadota bacterium
Lineage: Bacteria; Pseudomonadati; Gemmatimonadota
Description: Gemmatimonadetes bacterium partial 16S ribosomal RNA
Rfam family: Bacterial small subunit ribosomal RNA
Source: RNAcentral